This 465-nucleotide ribosomal RNA is filed under the name uncultured bacterium. Its description in RNAcentral is "bacterial SSU rRNA". It matches the Rfam family "Bacterial small subunit ribosomal RNA", at positions 28 to 507 of the family's 1533-position model. The record is from RNAcentral.
GACGAACGCUGGCGGCGUGCCUAACACAUGCAAGUCGAACGGGGCAGAGAGCUUCGGUUUUCUGCUUAGUGGCGAACGGGUGAGUAACGCGUGAGGAACCUGCCUUUCAGUGGGGGACAACAGUUGGAAACGACUGCUAAUACCGCAUAACGUCAUUUUCUGGCAUCGGAGAAUGACCAAAGCUUAAUGUGCUGAAAGAUGGCCUCGCGUCUGAUUAGAUAGUUGGUGGGGUAACGGCCUACCAAGUCGACGAUCAGUAGCCGGACUGAGAGGUUGACCGGCCACAUUGGGACUGAGAUACGGCCCAGACUCCUACGGGAGGCAGCAGUGGGGAAUAUUGGGCAAUGGACGCAAGUCUGACCCAGCAACGCCGCGUGAAGGAAGAAGGCUUUCGGGUUGUAAACUUCUUUUGUCAGGGAAGAGCAGAAGACGGUACCUGACGAAUAAGCCACGGCUAACUACGUG